UACAGAGGUCUCAAGCGUUGUUCGGAUUCAUUGGGCGUAAAGGGUGCGUAGGUGGCGCCGUAAGUCGGGUGUGAAAUUUCGAGGCUUAACCUCGAAACUGCAUUCGAUACUGCGGUGCUUGAGGACUGGAGAGGAGACUGGAAUUCAUGGUGUAGCAGUGAAAUGCGUAGAGAUCAUGAGGAAGACCAGUGGCGAAGGCGGGUCUCUGGACAGUUCCUGACACUGAGGCACGAAGGCCAGGGGAGCAAACGGG
This 253-nucleotide ribosomal RNA is filed under the name uncultured bacterium. RNAcentral describes it as "partial 16S ribosomal RNA". It matches the Rfam family "Bacterial small subunit ribosomal RNA", at positions 524 to 776 of the family's 1533-position model. The record is from RNAcentral.